UGGGGAAUAUUGCACAAUGGGCGCAAGCCUGAUGCAGCCAUGCCGCGUGUGUGAAGAAGGCCUUCGGGUUGUAAAGCACUUUCAGCGAGGAGGAAGGUGGUGAGCUUAAUACGCUCAUCAAUUGACGUUACUCGCAGAAGAAGCACCGGCUAACUCCGUGCCAGCAGCCGCGGUAAUACGGAGGGUGCAAGCGUUAAUCGGAAUUACUGGGCGUAAAGCGCACGCAGGCGGUUUGUUAAGUCAGAUGUGAAAUCCCCGGGCUCAACCUGGGAACUGCAUUUGAAACUGGCAAGCUAGAGUCUCGUAGAGGGGGGCUAGAAUUCCAGGUGUAGCGGUGAAAUGCGUAGAGAUCUGGAGGAAUACCGGUGGCGAAGGCGGCCCCCUGGACGAAGACUGACGCUCAGGUGCGAAAGCGUGGGGCAGCAAACAGGAUUAGAUACCCUGGUAGUCCACGCUGUAAACGAUGUCGAUUUUGGAGGUUGUGCCCUUGAGGCGUGGCUUCCGGAGCUAACGCGUUAAAUCGACCG
RNAcentral lists this ribosomal RNA (527 nucleotides) under uncultured bacterium. RNAcentral's name for it is "partial 16S ribosomal RNA". It matches the Rfam family "Bacterial small subunit ribosomal RNA", at positions 355 to 871 of the family's 1533-position model. The record is from RNAcentral.